RNAcentral lists this small RNA (567 nucleotides) under Oryza sativa Japonica Group (Japanese rice). RNAcentral describes it as "Os06g0319133". Lineage: Eukaryota; Viridiplantae; Streptophyta; Magnoliopsida; Poales; Poaceae. The record is from RNAcentral.
ACGCAAGCAGCAAGAAGGGCAACAUUAACCCCAAUCCUAUCCUGCCAAUAAAGCCCUUCCUUUCUUCCUCGUCUCCAGCGGCCGCUUCCUCGACCGUACCCUCCUCAGGAUCAUGGAGAUGAAGAAGAUUGCCUGCGCCGUCCUUGUCGCUGCCUCGGCCACCGUGGCCCUCGCCGUCGAGGCGCCCGCCCCUGCCCCCACCAGCGCCGCCGCCACCUCGGCCGCCUUCCCGGCGGUCGGCGCGGUGAUCGGCGCCUCCAUGCUGUCCUUCUUCGCCUACUACCUACAGUAAGGAAGGGAGGAAUGAUGAAGGUGUUGCGUGAGUGUGGGUGUGGAGGGGAGGAGAGGACAUUUGGUUUGAUAUGUGUUCGUUAUCGUUCAUGUUAUAAUUAAGUGUCUAAAUGUGGUUUUUGUUUGGAUUUGAUUGACAAUGUUGAUCCAUUAGUCCAUUCAUUUAAUUUGCUCGCCUUUUCUUCCCCUCGUGUGUUCAUUUGCUAAUUACAUUUGUAAAGAGGGGAAAAUGAGGUGGCAUUACUAUUAUUUUUUAUAAUAUGAUAAUUGGAUAUU